Molecule: ribosomal RNA, 393 nt
Filed under: uncultured bacterium
Lineage: Bacteria
Description: partial 16S ribosomal RNA
Rfam family: Bacterial small subunit ribosomal RNA
Source: RNAcentral
AUACGGAGGAUCCGAGCGUUAUCCGGAUUUAUUGGGUUUAAAGGGAGCGUAGGUGGAUUGUUAAGUCAGUUGUGAAAGUUUGCGGCUCAACCGUAAAAUUGCAGUUGAAACUGGCAGUCUUGAGUCCAGUAGAGGUGGGCGGAAUUCGUGGUGUAGCGGUGAAAUGCUUAGAUAUCACGAAGAACUCCGAUUGCGAAGGCAGCUCACUAGACUGUUACUGACACUGAUGCUCGAAAGUGUGGGUAUCAAACAGGAUUAGAUACCCUGGUAGUCCACACAGUAAACGAUGAAUACUCGCUGUUUGCGAUAUACAGUAAGCGGCCAAGCGAAAGCAUUAAGUAUUCCACCUGGGGAGUACGCCGGCAACGGUGAAACUCAAAUGAAUCGACGGGG